UCUCAGGUCUCUAUCACUCUUCUCGACAUUAUGGUCUAUAUUAUGGAAAAAAAACUAAGCGUCCGUGAUCAAGCCAAGCUCAGUUAGGGCUUGAGAAUCUAUUUAUAAAGGUAAAUGCCCGCUCGUGAUAUUGAAAUCGACCUUGGUUUGUGGAAGAACAUUCUGGAUGGAGACGUGUGAAUUGUUUCUCUUGACGGUAAAUUAGUCCUUAAGCGAUGUUACUCCGUUAGCAUCCAGCAUCAACGUACGCUAAAGCAAGUGAUAACAAGGGAGUUUAGUUUGGUUAAGCUAAAUUGGACAAGGAUUCUUCGUUUUCACCUCUCGUGUGGGAUUCAGUCUUCCCUUUGCAGGGAAUCUAUCUUCUUUGAAAGACCAGGUGGACACAUUUAAGUAAAUUUUUCGUCUCAUGAUACUCUCGCUGUGGAGGAAUCGAUCCCUGAGAUCCACCGUGACUGAACUCUUUAACAUGGCUUCACACUUUAUUCUCCAGGUAAGGGCGAAUUCAUACUUUACAAUAGCAUGGUAGUCAGAGGUUGAAAAGAAAAAUCAAAGCUCAUCCGUGCACCGCAAAAUCUUCACAGAGCAAAAUCAUGAAACUGAAUUUUGAAGACGUUCAGCUCAUUGUCUCUCUUCGGACCAACGGGAAACGUUUUUCAGAUGGAGCCGUGUUUGAAGGCUCUCUUAAUCCUGUGAAAUGUUCCACGGACUUGUUUUCCCAGGGAAAAAUGCAGGCUGUGAACCACAGACUCGAGCUAUGUAACCACGAUCCUCUGAUAGCGUAAAUAACGUCGCGGCUUCUUUACGUAGGAACCUCGAAUGGACUUUGUACCGUUCACACGUCGAUGCAUCAAUGCAUAUGGACGUCGACGGGAAGGGAAGUGCCUAGGACAGCAGUCAAAAGAAAUUCAUAUACACGCCUGGGCAACUUGUCACUGACUAUCCAAUCGUAGCAGAGGUAUCGCAUAUCACGUGUCAAAAUAACGACCACGCUUGAAAUACGUUGAUGGUUACCGGUAGUUGAUUUUCCUUAUUGAUCUUUAAUUACAGGUACAGCCAUUGUUCAAUGACAGACACUACCGAAUCUUUAUGAGCUACUGCCUUUUUUUGUUUUUUUUUUUUUCUCAUAUUUUGAUAUUUUAGGUCACGAGACUCAACGUAAUCAAAUGUGCUAGCCAAAGCAACCAACUGAAAGCCACUUAAAAGAUGCUUCGAAUGCAUAUUUGAUCACGUUGAAGCGCCGACCGCUUUGAUAUCAGGCCCUAGAUGCUAUAUUUCUGUGCAUUUGAAAU
This is a long non-coding RNA of Stylophora pistillata, 1289 nucleotides long. Lineage: Eukaryota; Metazoa; Cnidaria; Anthozoa; Scleractinia; Pocilloporidae. The record is from RefSeq and is a predicted model, not a curated record.